This 1011-nucleotide ribosomal RNA is filed under the name uncultured bacterium. Its description in RNAcentral is "bacterial SSU rRNA". It matches the Rfam family "Bacterial small subunit ribosomal RNA", at positions 471 to 1482 of the family's 1533-position model. The record is from RNAcentral.
GACGGUACUUGAUGAAUAAGCCACGGCUAAUUCCGUGCCAGCAGCCGCGGUAAUACGGGAGUGGCAAGCGUUAUCCGGAAUUAUUGGGCGUAAAGCGUCCGCAGGCGGCCCUUCAAGUCUGCUGUUAAAAAGUGGAGCUUAACUCCAUCAUGGCAGUGAAACUGAGGGGCUUGAGUGCGGUAGGGGCAGAGGGAAUUCCCGGUGUAGCGGUGAAAUGCGUAGAUAUCGGGAAGAACACCAGUGGCGAAGGCGCUCUGCUGGGCCAUCACUGACGCUCAUGGACGAAAGCCAGGGGAGCGAAAGGGAUUAGAUACCCCUGUAGUCCUGGCCGUAAACGAUGAACACUAGGUGUCGGGGGAAUCGACCCCCUCGGUGUCGUAGCCAACGCGUUAAGUGUUCCGCCUGGGGAGUACGCACGCAAGUGUGAAACUCAAAGGAAUUGGCGGGGGCCCGCACAAGCGGUGGAGUAUGUGGUUUAAUUCGAUGCAACGCGAAGAACCUUACCAGGGUUUGACAUCCUGCGAAUCUCUUGGAAACGAGAGAGUGCCUUCGGGAGCGCAGUGACAGGUGGUGCAUGGCUGUCGUCAGCUCGUGUCGUGAGAUGUUGGGUUAAGUCCCGCAACGAGCGCAACCCACGUCUUUAGUUGCCAGCAUUUAGUUGGGCACUCUAGAGAGACCGCCGGUGAUAAACCGGAGGAAGGUGUGGAUGACGUCAAGUCAUCAUGCCCCUUACAUCCUGGGCUACACACGUACUACAAUGCUACGGACAAAGGGCAGCAAGUUCGCGAGGACAAGCAAAUCCCAUAAACCGUGGCUCAGUUCAGAUCGUAGGCUGCAACUCGCCUACGUGAAGGAGGAAUCGCUAGUAAUCGCAGGUCAGCAUACUGCGGUGAAUACGUUCCCGGGCCUUGUACACACCGCCCGUCACACCAUGGAAGUUGGCCACGCCCGAAGCCGUUACUCCAACCCUUGUGGAGGAGGACGUCGAAGGUGGGGCUGAUGACUGGGGUG